GACGUAGGUGGCAAGCGUUAUCCGGAUUUACUGGGCGUAAAGCGUGUGCAGGCUGUGUGCCAAGUGGUGUAUGAAAGCGCCCGGCUCAACCGGGCAAUGGUAUGCCAGACUGGCAGACUGGAGUCUGAGAGAGGGGGGUGGAAUUCCGGGUGUAGUGGUGAAAUGCGUAGAGAUCCGGAGGAACCCCAGAGGCGAAGGCGGCCCCCUGGCUCAGCACUGACGCUCAGACACGACAGCAUGGGGAGCGAACGGG
This 253-nucleotide ribosomal RNA is filed under the name uncultured bacterium. Its description in RNAcentral is "partial 16S ribosomal RNA". It matches the Rfam family "Bacterial small subunit ribosomal RNA", at positions 524 to 776 of the family's 1533-position model. The record is from RNAcentral.